This 258-nucleotide long non-coding RNA is filed under the name Elaeis guineensis (African oil palm). RNAcentral's name for it is "long non-coding RNA (EGUI_LNC004680)". The record is from RNAcentral. Lineage: Eukaryota; Viridiplantae; Streptophyta; Magnoliopsida; Arecales; Arecaceae.
AAAUAUGAAUUUCAUAUUUAUGAAAUAUAUGCCUUGUUAUGAAAAGAAUAAUUUCAUGAUUGUUUUACUAUUAAAUAUUAUUUAUGGGUUAUGAACUUUAUAAAAUUAUCUAGUAUGUUAUUUAUGCAUGAUUUAAAAAAAUAUGAUUUCAUAAAAUAUAAUUUAAGAAUAUUUAUUUUAAAAAAUAUAAAAAAAGGCUCUCAGAUAGCUAUGUAUGACUUUGUCAGUGGAUAAUAGUAAUUGAUAUAUGACCCUGCC